RNA transcript from Gossypium raimondii (Peruvian cotton), 3842 nucleotides. It is a transcript of the gene named cyclin-dependent kinase G-2, with no coding region annotated. The transcript is spliced from 6 exons. The record is from RefSeq and is a predicted model, not a curated record. Lineage: Eukaryota; Viridiplantae; Streptophyta; Magnoliopsida; Malvales; Malvaceae.
GAAAACAAAGCAACGCGUAUAAAAACAAAAACUCUUCAAGAGAUUGUCCCGAUUCUCUGAUUUUCUUUGCGUCUGCUUUCCGUCUCCUCCUCCUUCUUCUUUCUGGUAAGAUCUUCAAUUACCUCUGAUUUAUCGAGGUCAGGUCAGAUCAGAUCAGAUCAGAUCCGCCAAAAGAAGCACAAAAAUUUCAUGUUCUAGGGUUUUGAUUUGAUUGUCAGCGUUUUUUUUUUUGAUUUUACCUUUUUCAUCUUUGUUUGAAUUCCAUAUCUGAAAUCUACGUGUAAUUGUUGUGUUCCUCUCUCUAUUGAUUGACUUUUUAAACUUUGUCUGUAUAUCUAGGGUUUAUUCUUUUUACGAACCCUAAAAAAAAGAAAAAAGAAAGUAAUUGGAUAUUUGUUUUGUGCGUUUUAUUGGAGAUUUUUUUUUCUUUGUCUUGAAUCUUUUUAUUGAGAAGAGUUGUGUGGUUCUUGAUUGGUAUGGCGGCAGGGCGAGUUGAUGUUCGGAGGAGAAUUGAUGUUGAGAAAUUGAAUCGGGGCCAUGUUCAUGCAAAUCCCGUUAAGAAUGGAUAUAAUUAUCCAUCUAAUAAUAAGGAUAAGUUCGAUCUGGGUCCUAGGAGAUGUGGGUUAGACGAUGUUGCCAGGGUUAAAAAUGAUGUGAAACAGAUGUUGGAUGAUGGGGUUCAGCAGCCCCCGGAAAAAAAGAGGAAGUUUUCCCCGAUUGUAUGGGACCUGGAAGACAAAGAAGGAAGAUUUUCAUCCAAGAACAGGGAUGUUGUGACGACUAGCAUUCUGUCAUCUCCUUCUUCACCUUCCAAAGUGUCAAAUACUGUUUCCAAUCAGGUUUAUAAGCAUCAACCGUUCUCUGCAAACGUGAUCAAAGAAGUGGAGCAUAUGGUAUCCAAGUCUUUGGUGUCUGAUUUUGGUGCUGCUUUAUCUCCUUCACUGCCUGACCAGCAAUGCCUGGAUGAUGAACAAGAACCAGAGUUGAUUGGAAAAGAAAAUGUUCGAGCACCCAACAUAUUUACAUCACGUUGGGCUUCUGAUAGUGAUGAUGAAGAUGGAUCUCUAACGGAGGAUAAGAUUAGUAGGAGUUCGAGUCUUGAGAGUGGAGAGCUUGAAAGAGAGGAGUUGGAAGUAGAUAGGGCACAGUCUGAUCAAAGAAGCAGCAGUGUACUGUCUGCUUGUGAGGAUGGAGGCAUGGAGUGUAAGUUGGACUCUGGUGAUGUGAUGGACAUUGAUGACAUGCGUGACGAAGAUGCUGUUGUUGAUCAGUCAGAUUUAGGUGUUGAAGAGCCAGCAGGAGGUUGUAUGAACAUGCUUCAUGGUUGCAGAAGUGUUUUUGAGUAUGAAAAAUUGAACAAAAUAAGUGAAGGUACAUAUGGUAUUGUUUACCGAGCUAAGGAUAAGAUGACAGGAGAAAUUGUGGCACUGAAGAAGGUGAAGAUUCUUGAUCGAAGAGAUUUAGAAGAAUAUGGUUUCCCUGUGACAUCACUGAGAGAAAUUAAUAUUCUUGCGUCUUUUCAUCACCCUUCAAUUGUGAAAGCUAGAGAAGUUGUUGUAGAUGACCAUGACAAUGUUUACAUGGUUAUGGAGUACAUGGAACAUGACCUCAAGUGGCUAAUGGACUCGAUGAAACGACGAUUCAGUACCAGUGAUGUUAAAUGUUUGAUUCUACAGCUACUGGAGGGUGUGAAAUAUCUUCAUGAUAAUUGGGUACUUCAUAGGGAUUUGAAAACAUCCAAUCUUCUCUUGAACAAUCAAGGUGAACUCAAAAUAUGUGACUUUGGUAUGGCGCGACAGUAUGGGAGCCCUCUUAAGCCUUACACAACCAAGGUGGUGACUCAGUGGUAUAGGGCUCCUGAACUUUUACUUGGAGCAAAGAAGUAUUCAACAGCCGUGGACAUGUGGUCUGUGGGAUGUAUAAUGGCUGAAUUGUUAGCUAAGGAACCCCUGUUCAAAGGGACAAGUGAAAUUGAUCAGCUUCGCAAGAUAUUUGAUACUCUUGGUGUUCCAAGUGAGAAGAUUUGGCCUGGGUUUUCUGAAUUACCAGGUUCCAAAGCAAAUUAUUCUAAGCAACCGUAUAACUUGUUGCGCAAGAAGUUUCCUGCAGCAUCUUUUACUGGAUCUGCCGUUCUUUCUGAUGCUGGAUUUGACCUGUUGAACAGGCUUCUUACCUAUGACCCUGAGAAAAGAAUAACAGCAGAUGAUGCUCUUAAUCAUGAUUGGUUCCGGGAGCUUCCCCUGCCAAAAUCUAAAGAUUUCUUGCCUACUUUCCCACCAAAAGUGUGAAUGGAACAAUUUCCUUGCCUGAUUUGUGGAAGCUGGACACAACCAAAAUAUUAUCACCGCAUUCUUCCUAGCAAUUGUAGUGGUCAUGAAGGAUCCCAGUUUGAUGCAGCAGUGGUAAAAAACUUCAUCUAUUUUGUGUCAUGAUACAGGCAAGCUGGUUCAUUCAGCCACUCUGAUAUCUUUCAUGAUAAUUGUUUUAGUAGAUAUUGACAAAAAUGUGAGAUGCUGUAGUUGCAUGUUUCAUAGCAAAUUAAUGAGUGGGAGAAACUGAUAUAGUCUUUUGACAGGCACAUGUAGCCUUACAUGGUCCGGUUAUUAGUUGGGAUAAUUUUCAGAUGAGUUGUAAAGGUCAUCAGCUGCGACCUUACCUUGAAUCUUUAAUUUUCAUCUCCUUGAUACUUUAUCAGAAUGUAACCCAUAGUCCACCGACAUUUGGAAGCGUGUACAACAUCUUUGUUUCCUGUUAGUAAGUUUUGGACGCUCAAGGUUCUUUGUGAAUAAAGUAGUUGAUCUUUCAAUUUGUGAGGUCUCCAUUUGUUUCGUUGUUUCCUCUCUGUUUUGUUCUUUGUUUGCAAGUGUUGCAGCACAGCUAAAGGACUUCAGAGUCUGCAAGUGCUUUCGUUAUCAUGUAGCGUGCAAGUAAGGCAUCAACCCCAUAUAGAGUAACUCGGUGCAUUAUCGACUAAUUCCCUAACAAUAACCAGUUAUCAAUUUAUAUGUUAUCGUAUAUUGUGACAUUGACGCACAGGAUGAAGUUUUAUGAUUAGCAUGCAGAUGUUACUGGAGAAAAGAUAAUAGAACCACCGACUAUUUGCUGAGGCUUCUUGUUCUUUCGCCCUGUCUUCUAUUUUUUUUAUUUCUCGGUUCUUCCAUGAAUGUGGUUCUUACAGUUUACCUUGUUGGGUUUCUGCAAGAUACACUUUAACUGAUUACAAGCGCAUAUCUCAAUACCGAACUUAGGAGAUGGCUCAAAACGGUUGGUAUUUAGAAAUAUAAGAUUAUAGCUGUUGUCAUGCAUGGUUUAAAACAAUGCCUCUUCUCAUCCACUUCUUAAUGCUAGUAUAUCGAAAAUUGUCUUAUUUUAAUGUCAUAUGAUCGUUAUUUUUUUUCUUCCUAUUUUCUCUCCUAAAAGAAAACAGUGAAGGCUCUACGGACAAUGUGUUCUAAAUACUCAAAUAAUUUCAAUGCUGCAUCAAUCUUCCAUACGUGAACCGUGCUUCGUCCAACUUAUGUUGCUGGGGGGUGUUUUGGUUCUCCUUUGGGAUGAACGAAACGUCAAAGGAAGGAAGCAACCGCAAAGAACUGUAUGAUUUUGAUGGAUGCCAUGAAUGUCGAAGGAAUGACAGUUGAUGUAAUACAUACAAUUUUGAAGGUAUGGCAAUCUGGUUCGUCGAGGUUUUUUCUUCUGAACUAUGGGUUGUUGGUGCUAACGAGUGCGGUCCUGGAAUUUUCCUCUUCUGAAAAGAAAAUGUUUGUUAUUUCAAACCAGCAUAAGCCUUGUUUUCAAAAUUAACGUUAUCUUGGAAUGGAUUUUUAUAAUCUGCCUUGCCUCUA